RNAcentral lists this ribosomal RNA (232 nucleotides) under uncultured bacterium. RNAcentral's name for it is "partial 16S ribosomal RNA". It matches the Rfam family "Bacterial small subunit ribosomal RNA", at positions 99 to 334 of the family's 1533-position model. The record is from RNAcentral.
CGGACGGGUGAGUAAUGUCUGGGAAACUGCCUGAUGGAGGGGGAUAACUACUGGGAACGGUAGCUAAUACCGCAUAACGUCGCAAGACCAAAGAGGGGGACCUUAGGGCCUCUUGCCAUCGGAUGUGCCCAGAUGGGAUUAGCUAGUAGGUGGGGUAAUGGCUCACCUAGGCGACGAUCCCUAGCUGGUCUGAGAGGAUGACCAGCCACACUGGAACUGAGACACGGUCCAG